This 435-nucleotide ribosomal RNA is filed under the name uncultured bacterium. Its description in RNAcentral is "partial 16S ribosomal RNA". It matches the Rfam family "Bacterial small subunit ribosomal RNA", at positions 29 to 507 of the family's 1533-position model. The record is from RNAcentral.
AGCGAACGCUGGCGGCAGGCUUAACACAUGCAAGUCGAGCGGGCAUCUUCGGAUGUCAGCGGCAGACGGGUGAGUAACACGUGGGAACGUACCCUUCGGUUCGGAACAACUCUGGGAAACUGGAGCUAAUACCGGAUACGCCCUUAUGGGGAAAGGUUUACUGCCGAAGGAUCGGCCCGCGUCUGAUUAGCUAGUUGGUGGGGUAACGGCCUACCAAGGCGACGAUCAGUAGCUGGUCUGAGAGGAUGAUCAGCCACACUGGGACUGAGACACGGCCCAGACUCCUACGGGAGGCAGCAGUGGGGAAUAUUGGACAAUGGGCGCAAGCCUGAUCCAGCCAUGCCGCGUGAGUGAUGAAGGCCUUAGGGUUGUAAAGCUCUUUUGUCCGGGACGAUAGUGACGGUACCGGAAGAAUAAGCCCCGGCUAACUUCGUG